RNAcentral lists this ribosomal RNA (424 nucleotides) under uncultured archaeon. Its description in RNAcentral is "partial 16S ribosomal RNA". It matches the Rfam family "Archaeal small subunit ribosomal RNA", at positions 323 to 746 of the family's 1478-position model. The record is from RNAcentral.
CUACGGGAGGCACCAGUUAGGAAUAAUCUACAAUGCGCGAAAGCGUGAUAGUUUGAAUCAGAGUGCGCUUCAAUUUGAAGUGCUUUUGCUAAAUGUAAAAAGUUUAGCGAAUAAGGACUGGGUAAGACGAGUGCCAGCCGCCGCGUGUAAUACUCGCGGUCCAAGUCGCAGCCAUUUUUAUUGGGUCUAAAACAUCCGUAGCUUGCUUAGUAAGUUUCUCGUGAAAUCCUACAUCUCAAGUGUAGGGCGCGCGGGAAGUACUGCUUGGCUAGAGACUGGAAGGCGUAACGAGUACGUUCAAAGUAGCGGUAAAAUGUGUUAAUCUUGGACGGACUAACGAUUAGCGAAGGCACGUUACGAGGACAGUUCUGACAGUAAGGGAUGAAGGCUAGGGGCGCAAAACGGAUUAGAUACCCUCGUAGUC